UUACAAACUUGCUGUAAGUCGCUUUGGAUAAAAGCGUCUGCUAAAUGACUGAAA
Salmo salar (Atlantic salmon) is the source of this 54-nucleotide non-coding RNA. NCBI's taxonomy places the organism in Eukaryota, Metazoa, Chordata, Actinopteri, Salmoniformes, Salmonidae. The record is from Rfam.